GACGAACGCUGGCGGCGUGCUUAACACAUGCAAGUCGAACGGAAAGGCCCUGCUUUUGUGGGGUGCUCGAGUGGCGAACGGGUGAGUAACACGUGAGUAACCUGCCCUUGACUUUGGGAUAAAUUCAGGAAACUGGGGCUAAUACCGGGUAGGAGCUCCUGCUGCAUGGUGUGGGUUGGAAAGUUUCGGCGGUUGGGGAUGGACUCGCGGCUUAUCAGCUUGUUGGUGGGGUAGUGGCUUACCAAGGCUUUGACGGGUAGCCGGCCUGAGAGGGUGACCGGGCACAUUGGUACUGAGAUACGGCGCAGAAGCCUACGGGAGGCAGCAGGGGGGAAUAUUGCACAAUGGGCGGAAGCCUGAGGCAGCAACGCCGCGUGCGGGAUGACGGCCUUCGGGGUGUAAACCGCUGUCGCCUGAGACGAAGCGUGAGUGACGGUAAUGGGUAAAGAAGCACCGGCUAACUACGUG
This 468-nucleotide ribosomal RNA is filed under the name uncultured bacterium. RNAcentral's name for it is "partial 16S ribosomal RNA". It matches the Rfam family "Bacterial small subunit ribosomal RNA", at positions 28 to 507 of the family's 1533-position model. The record is from RNAcentral.